GACGAACGCUGGCGGCGUGCCUAAUACAUGCAAGUCGAACGCAGUGGGGACGGGGGAGUAACACGUGGGAAACCUCCCAUCAGAGGGGAUAACACUUGGAAACAGGUGCUAAACCGAUACUGAUGGAUGAACCCGCGGUGCAUUAGCUAGUUGGGGAGGUAACGGCUCACAAAGGCCAAGAUGCAUAGCCGACCUGAGUGGGUGAUGGCCCACACGUGGACUGAGUCACGGCCCAUACUCCUACGGGAGGCAGCAGGAGGGAAUCUGCGGCAAUGGACGAAAGUCUGACCGAGCGACGCCGCGUGAGUGAAGAAGGUUUUCGGAUCGUAAAACUCUUUUGUUAGAUAAGCGGUAUCUAACCAGAAAGCCACGGCUAACUACGUGCCAGCAGCCGCGGUAAUAC
RNAcentral lists this ribosomal RNA (403 nucleotides) under uncultured bacterium. Its description in RNAcentral is "partial 16S ribosomal RNA". It matches the Rfam family "Bacterial small subunit ribosomal RNA", at positions 28 to 526 of the family's 1533-position model. The record is from RNAcentral.